ACACACGCACAAUUUAGAAAUAGGCUGCUUGUACCUCUCUCUCUCACACAUCACAUGCACAAACACCUUUGCGUUAAUCAUGUAACUUGCAUGGUGCACACACUCUCUCGCUUUCUCACACACACAUCUGCACCCUUUUCCUAUGGUGGGUGAGUUGGUUUGGGUUCUAACCACAAUUCUGUGGACCUUACACCCUAAUCCCCAUGCGUAUUCUGUGUUUACUUAGUGUAAAGUGCAAACUUUGUCUGAGGGUAGAUUUGUUUUGCAAAUUUUCCCUAAUCACUCUGCUUAUUUGCAUACACACGGUGUAAAGUGCGGGCUUUAUCUGAGGAUGGAGUUGUUUUCUGGGAAUGCUGAUUCUAAUUGAAAAGGAUACAAUGCUAGCAUUCAGUUUUCAAAUACGCUGCUAGCAGCUCCCCAGCUGUCUGAUAUCAACAAUGGAUGGUUGGGGCGAUUGUUCCUCUACUAAGAAUUUGUUGUUGACGAUGUCCCGUUGUGGGUCUGCUAGCAAACUAUUGAAAACCCAAAUGCAAGCUUAGUAGUAGCGAGCCAAAACCAUAUCUCUUGAUUUCUUUCCUCUCAAAGGAGGGAGAUGACAAACAUGAAUUUUUACCUCGGAGGGAGAUGACAAACAUGAAUUGUUACCUUGGAGGGAGAUGACAAACAUGAAUUGUUAUUCUUAUAGCUCAAAUUUUCUUACAUGAUCGUACACAUGAGAAUAAUCCUAAACAUGAUGGAGAGUGAGAUUUGUGAACAUGAUAGAGAGAGAUUUGUGAAUUGUGAAUAUGGGCACCAUCGAUUUUGC
Molecule: long non-coding RNA, 805 nt
Filed under: Amborella trichopoda
Lineage: Eukaryota; Viridiplantae; Streptophyta; Magnoliopsida; Amborellales; Amborellaceae
Description: long non-coding RNA (ATRI_LNC004848)
Source: RNAcentral